RNAcentral lists this ribosomal RNA (407 nucleotides) under uncultured bacterium. Its description in RNAcentral is "bacterial SSU rRNA". It matches the Rfam family "Bacterial small subunit ribosomal RNA", at positions 30 to 442 of the family's 1533-position model. The record is from RNAcentral.
AUUGAACGCUGGCGGCAUGCCUUACACAUGCAAGUCGAACGGCAGCACGGGAGCAAUCCUGGUGGCGAGUGGCGAACGGGUGAGUAAUAUAUCGGAACGUGCCCAGUCGUGGGGAUAACGUAGCGAAAGCUACGCUAAUACCGCAUACGAUCUAUGGAUGAAAGCGGGGGAUCGCAAGACCUCGCGCGAUUGGAGCGGCCGAUAUCAGAUUAGGUAGUUGGUGAGGUAAAGGCUCACCAAGCCGACGAUCUGUAGCUGGUCUGAGAGGACGACCAGCCACACUGGGACUGAGACACGGCCCAGACUCCUACGGGAGGCAGCAGUGGGGAAUUUUGGACAAUGGGCGCAAGCCUGAUCCAGCAAUGCCGCGUGCAGGAUGAAGGCCUCGGUGUAACUGCUUUGUACGG